RNAcentral lists this ribosomal RNA (506 nucleotides) under uncultured bacterium. RNAcentral's name for it is "partial 16S ribosomal RNA". It matches the Rfam family "Bacterial small subunit ribosomal RNA", at positions 29 to 523 of the family's 1533-position model. The record is from RNAcentral.
AGUGAACGCUGGCGGUAGGCCUAACACAUGCAAGUCGAACGGCAGCACAGGAGAGCUUGCUCUCUGGGUGGCGAGUGGCGGACGGGUGAGGAAUACAUCGGAAUCUACUCUGUCGUGGGGGAUAAGGUAGGGAAACUUACGCUAAUACCGCAUACGACCUACGGGUGAAAGCAGGGGAUCUUCGGACCUUGCGCGAUUGACUGCGCCGAUGUCGGAUUAGCUAGUUGGCGGGGUAAAGGCCCACCAAGGCGACGAUCCGUAGCUGGUCUGAGAGGAUGAUCAGCCAAACUGGAACUGAGACACGGUCCAGACUCCUACGGGAGGCAGCAGUGGGGAAUAUUGGACAAUGGGCGCAAGCCUGAUCCAGCCAUACCGCGUGGGUGAAGAAGGCCUUCGGGUUGUAAAGCCCUUUUGUUGGGAAAGAAAUCCAGCUGGCUAAUACCCGGUUGGGAUGACGGUACCCAAAGAAUAAGCACCGGCUAACUUCGUGCCAGCCGCCGCGGUAA